UGAAAGGCGAAACGUAAUGUGAAUCGCAACUAACAGUGAAUCAUUGAAUCUUUGAACGCAGGCCGCACCCAGCAAUAUCACUACGUGUUAUUACUGGGUAUCUACGUAUGAGUGUCAGCCCAAUAUCUUUUCAGUUCAAGAUCAAGAUUGAGUAAUCAAUUGGAUAUCUUGAGCUUUUUUUUAAACUCCCGGCAUCUCCUUUAGCUUGCUAGAGGGGGUGUUUGGGAGUUUUUUUUUAACAAAAUUUUUUGUCUGGCCUCAUAUGUGGAAGAUUACCCGCUGGAUUUAA
Molecule: unclassified non-coding RNA, 289 nt
Filed under: uncultured fungus
Lineage: Eukaryota; Fungi
Description: sequence contains ITS1
Rfam family: 5.8S ribosomal RNA (bases 1-117)
Source: RNAcentral